CGGGGAACACUAAAUCCUUACACUCUUCUAUCAAUGUCUUCUUCAUGAGUGGAAUUCCACUUUUUUGGUUAGAUAUUUGUUCUUCAACUUAGCUUGAAUAAAUACCUAGUUUCCCCCUUAAUAAUUCCCAUCAAAAUCACCUUUUUUCAAUUUUUUUAUUUGACUUUAAGUAUUAUUAUGACAGCAUGUUGCUUUGAUUUCCCUUGAGUUCCAACAGCAUGUUGCGGGCGAGGAGAUUGCUGCAAAGUUAUAAAAUGAAGAGAAUGGAUGCAAAUAUCCUUCACAAGAACCAAGAAAGCUCUCUGGGCUCAAGAAUCGCAAGAAAUUGCAUACAGAUUUCGUCUUUUCAAGGAGCCACUGAUUUUUGUGCUGCAAGAAAGUCUAAGUUUUACCUCUGAUUUUAAGGAUAAAAGGAAUUUGAAAAGUUUAGAAAUCUAUCUAAAAGUUACGUUCGGGUUUAAGGAAAGAUUUUGUGUAUGAUUUUUGAAAGAUAUUUCUGGAUUUUUUUUUUUUUGCAAAGAUUAAAAUAGAAGAAAUUAUGGUUGAAUGUUUUUUGCAAAUAUUGAAAUAGAAUUUUUGGUUUUUCUCUUUGUUGUUUAAAGAUAAACUUGAAGAACAAGAAAGAAAAAAAAGGGAAAAAAACGGAGGAAGAGGAAAGCAAAUAAAAUCUCACCUUCUGUACAAUUGAUAAAACAAACAAGUAAUUAAAAAUGAAAAAAAGGA
This 723-nucleotide long non-coding RNA is filed under the name Gossypium barbadense (sea-island cotton). Its description in RNAcentral is "long non-coding RNA (GBAR_LNC012494)". The record is from RNAcentral. Lineage: Eukaryota; Viridiplantae; Streptophyta; Magnoliopsida; Malvales; Malvaceae.